RNAcentral lists this long non-coding RNA (3581 nucleotides) under Sus scrofa (pig). Its description in RNAcentral is "lncRNA (ENSSSCG00030040479.1)". The record is from RNAcentral. Lineage: Eukaryota; Metazoa; Chordata; Mammalia; Artiodactyla; Suidae.
GCGGAGGGACUGGGGUGAGAGUGAGUCAGGGAGGGACAAGGCUUUCAUCAGUCAUCCCUGGUGGACCCUCCCAAGAAAACCCUAAGGGGUUCCAAGAGCCUCUCAUUGGGGAAGUGUCCACAGUUGGGAGGGUGACGCACCCCGAACUCCACAGAGACUGAAGCUCCUGGAUCCCACCUCUCGCACACCUGGCCCCUACUUCCUCAUCUGCCUGUACAUCCCUUUAGGAUCCACAGCAUCAAGAACAAGUACCCACCUGGAUAAGGGAAGGCUCUGGGACCCAUUCAGGAUGUUAUUGAUGUUUUUGGAGAUGACGUCCAAGAGGAAGAGUUGGCGUUGCAUGGAGAGAUAAUGAGCUGUGUGGUGAUCAGCCCAGGCCUCAGAAGAAGUAGAUAAGGGGCAACCUCAGAGCCCUUCACCCACUGGACGCCACUGAAGUUUGUUACGGACAGGAUCUCUGGAACAGGCACUACACCCCAUUGUGAUGUCCAGACGCCAGCUGGGUUUCCAGGGGCAACGGGGCUGCCCCAGUUCUGAGCCCAGGGGACCCCAGGAGGCAGAUGUGCUCUGGGGCGUGAGAUCCGUUAAGUCUGCCUCAGGAAAGCUGCAUCCUCCACACUGAAACCACACCGGCAUUAGGACGCUCCACUCAGCCUCUGGAAACACCCACCACUGCCUUCUCCUGGAAAGCACCUGCUCUAGUCCCUGGAGACUCGUAUUAGGGCAGAAUCCAACAGAAGAAUUCCGUGGUCAGCAGAGAAAGCCCCAUCUCAGCAUCCAUGGAGCAGGUGCAUCUGAGCACAAGCCUGGUGGACCAGCCGACAAGCCUAAGACGAGGGCACAGGAAGCCUGGGUAUUGCCCACAAACACUCCAUCCAGUUCUUCCAUGGCCUGCCUUGAGGUCUACCAAGCAUUUAAAAGUCACCUUACCUGCCUGGAAAAAUGGCAAAGAUAACUGAUGGGUCAAGCUGAAGGGUGUUUCACCAUCAGCCAGUUUUCUCGAGGUUACACCUCUUGCACGUUUUUGAAAUUUUGAGUCGGAACAUCCAAAGUUGAGUUUGGAGGGAGGAAGGUAAGACUGGAGACCAGGCGCUGCCUCUUUCUGAUGGUGACCCUGGAGGAUAUACAGAGAAACACAGGACAUCAGAGGCACCCUUGCAGCAAAUGAACGGCUUCUGGAGUGUUGAUACCAUCAAGGAUUUCCAGAGUUGCUCGAUGUAUUUAUUGUCCCAGGAGAACCACAGAGCCUGCAAUGGCAGAAUGGAGUAGACAAUUCUGCAUCUCUGAGCUUACUUGGAACCUGUCUUCAAUCAAAUGCGGUGAGACAUCCAAUGAUAACAGGAUCCUUUAGUAGCCACUAAACUUGGCACCAACGUACAUACAUAUCCUGUUAAAAGGCUGCUUCUCUGAGCAAAAUCCUCGGGGCUGCAAGAACUCAGCCUCAGGACAGAAAGCCUACUGGCCUCGAAAAGAAGAGGAACAGCAUUACAAUCAGAAAAACAGGAUUUGAGACCUAAUUCACACCAAUUUAUUGUGCACCUUCAAGAGACAACUCCUGUGUAACAUACCAUGAUAACAGGAAUUCCUCUCAUGCCCAAUUUCCUGGACUUUCCAGCAGAAAACACAAAGGGAGGUAAAAAGAGCCCAUCUUUUGCUAAGUACCUUUUCCUGCGAAUGCAGAUCCUACAAGAGGGAGCUGACAUGGCUUGGGUGGAAUUUCCUCGAUGCUCAAACAAGGAAUUGUCUUACUUGCAAUCAUUGCAACUAACACCCCUGAAACGAAAUGGCCCUUUUUUCCCCUCUGCCUUUUUCAUAAUUAAUGAAUAGUUCUGCCGUCUUAUCCACAACUUAGUUGCCAGCUUGGGAUGGCCGCCAAGGUGAAAAUCAUUCUGCUCUGCUCGGCUCAGCACUAAAUCGUCAAGGCAGAGGUUGAUGUCAAUUGAUACGGGACUGCCUGAAGGAACCAGAUUUGCCUUAGAAAUGUCUCCUGCUUGCUCCAUCCUUGGCUUUGGAAACCAUUCCAGGCUGAUGGUCAACAGACACACCUUUGGGACAUAAAUCCAUGAGUUGGAACGUGCGUGAUGCCCAGUCUCUAUGUGUUGUUUUAAUUAUUUUAUGGUUUUAUUAAGUUUUUUCAUCUUCGGGCUAAAAAAAGAAAAAACAACUACCCAAUCCCACUGCCAAAUUUCCCGGAUAUUUUAAGCACAGACACCGUGGACUCCACUGCUGCAAGGAAUGACAGUGGUCCUGACCCUUUCUGUUGGAAUUUAUGGCAGUGAGUAAACCUGUUCUUCCAGGAAAUGCAUGUUAAUUAUGUUAAAUGCCCUGCUUCAUGGAGAAUGUAAAGAGGUAGAGGGUGUUUAAUUCCUCUUGACAAAAGAUUCCUCUGCAAAAUGGAGCCACGCCUUUAGAACAAGGUCCACAUACAAUAGUCUUCUCACACUUAGCAAAGAUAAUCCUCCUUUAAAUAAAUGUCUUCAGGGCUUUAAGGCCCCCUGUAAGGGUGGGAAAGGUUUCUUCUAUUUUCUUUGUCUCUCGAUUUUUUUAAGAAUGAAAUCGGAGGAAGAACAGCUGAAAGGUGAGGGGGAUGAAUCCCAUUGCAUCAAAGUGGAGAGACACAUUCUCAAAUUGAAUUCUGCACGUUGUUUUUCAUAUUUCCUUUUCUGGUGGAAAAGCUGUAACAUGCGCUAUUUUUUUUCUACAGUCUUAAAAGCCAAACUUUUUCGAAAUGAUGCCCAACCUGGAGUUUCAAAGUUGUGUGUUGGGGGAAGGGUGUGUUUUUUUGUUUUGUUUUGUUUUUUAAUCAUUCAAACGGGUUGAAGCCUUUCUUAAUGCCCAGACCAAAUCAAAACUGACUUAAUGGCCAGACCAAAUUGGUUGUUCAAUUUCGAGGUCUACCAAAACAAAUUGAGUGUGUGUUCCAUUCAGGUCACCGCAGACCUAUUAGGACAGGCAAUCCACUUCUUUAAAAAAAAACCCUUAAUUUCAGCUUUGUGUAGGCUCUGACUUACCCAGAAGCUGCAUCAACUGUCUUUGAUUUCAGGUGUUCUUAGACAAAUUCAAAUUUUCUGUCUUUCAUGGCAACAUUUCUUUGGGCUGUAUAUGGAUUUCUUUGCGGAUAAAUAUGAGAGUAUUUCAACUCACAGUUUUUAGCUAGAAGAUUCUUUGAGAUGGGAUCAUAAGAAAUCCUUUGUCCCCUCCUUCUUAUUGUCCAGAUGAAAAAAUAAUCCCAAGAGAAGUCACGCUUCCAAAUGGUUAUCAUCAGUUAUAUAUUUAUUGAUCUUCAUAGGAAAAUGUCCCACAAAAAUUCCCACAGCAAUGUGGCCGACCCCAGUCAGUUUUGCAAAUAUUAACAUGAAGCUGGGAGUUCCUGUCACGGCUCAGUGGUAAUGAACCUGACUAGUUUCCCCCGAGGAUGCAGGUUCGAUCCCUGGCCUCACUCAGUGGGUUAAGGAUCCAGCAUCACCAUGAGCUUUGGUGUAGGUUGCAGACUCAGCUUGGAUCCCAUGUUUCCGUGGCUGUGGUGUAGGCUGGCAGCGGCAGCUCCAAUUUGACCCCUAGCCUGGGAACUUCCAUAUGCC